CCUCUCGAUCCACCCCUCCCGCCGGGGCCUUUCUCUCUUUCCCUCCUCCCCCGCUCCACCGCCGUCGGCCCAUCUCCCGCCCCGUCGCCGCCGCCCCAUCUCCCACCCCGCCGCCGCCGCCCCAUAUCCCGCUCUGCCACCGCCCCUACUGCUCCACCGAACCGACCUCUUCUUCGAGCAUGAGCCGCUCCUCUCCCUGACACCCUCGUACUCACUAGGGUUUCGUGCGCCGCCGCCGCCGCCGGUCCUCUCCAACACUGCGACGGGCUUCACGGCCUACUUCGACCUCGGGCCUUAAUGCUUCCUCUGCUUCUGUGUCGACCUGCUAUUCAGCGAGGAGGACGUACAUCAGGCAGCGGGUGACGCGCGGUGGCUGCGCAAAUUCCUCUGCGGCGGAGAUCUCCAGGAUGGGUGCUUGUCUUCUCAGAAGAAGGAGAUGAUGAAGGAUGCAGAGAAGGAAGGCAACGUGGAAGGCAACGUGGUGUGUUCUUGAUGAUGAUCGAAGAAGAUCUGCUGGCUGCUGUUCAAGGGACGAUAGCCAAAGAAGAAGAAGAUGAUUGCUAUGUUCUGAGAAAUCAGGAUUCUGGAAGACCACGAAGAGGAAUAAGACAAGCAGGCACAUGUGUACCGUCACGAGCAGCAAAACGAAGAGUAAACCCAAGAAUAUCAAGGGGGGAUUAUGUUGGCUGCCGUGGAGGACGAGAUGCAAGGGUGCUCCGGCAGCGGCUGCAGCAGCGUGACAGAUCAAGCGAGCUAGGUUGUGCCAUCUCUGGUCCUCUCUCUUCAAACGGUCGACACCGGGUGCUUACGAUCGACGUGACGGCGGCGGUGCAAGAGCAUGGCAUAGCUGGUCUGAGAGUGGCGAUGGACUCACUGCCCGCUGCUACUAUAUCAUCCAAAGUAGUGGCAGGGCGCAGCGGCACGAACGGCUCAGCCUCUGCCUUGUUCAUCCCAUUACAACGGAGGCGCUUUAAUUACUGACACAUAUGUUCUUAUUAUGCAACUGCAGGUGAUUUCUCAUCUUUCAACUCGGUCUAUUUUACUUGUCAUACAUGGAGAGAGUUUAUACAAUGUUAGAUGAAGAGUUGGCGGUGCCACGGUGCCAAGAUGAGCCGGUCAUUCAUCAGUUGGAAUCCGCGCCAAAGAGUUUCAGUGGUGUUGAUGUUCGCCAGUAGUCCAGUACAUCGAGUAUAGAACAACCAUGUAUGCUGCAGGUGGUUACGGCGUAUAGCGGAUCUGACAGAACUAUUUUGAAUCUCGGUGGCUCUGUAUCAGGGUCUUCCUGUACUGAUGGUUGAAAGAUUUCCAUGUGAAUUGCCUGAGAUGGUUAGUGAUAGUGAAAGUUAUGAUGACAGAUAAUUACUCCUCCAAGAAGAAGAAUCAGAAGAGCUGGCUAUUUGUGGGCCUUUUUCGUCAGUGGUAAGGUGACAUGGGCCGCGUUUGUUAGUGGCUAAGGAAAGGCGGUUCGAGCCUGACGUGGUCGUCGAUGAGGAGCUUUUGGAUGUCACCGGCGCCGGCAAUCCUCGAGGGCAAAGGCUGCGACAAGCGGCGGCGGCGGUGCUUGGGCAGCAACAAUCUGAGCAUGAUGAGGUCGAAGGCGUCGUAGUGGUGCAUUGGAGCUGGAGGAGGAGGCGGGCCAGUGCUGUUUGUGCUCAAGACGUACGAGAUGGUGGACAGCCCAUCGACGGAAGCAGUGGUCUGGUGGAGUGAUGCGUUGGACACAACCUUCGUGGUUUGGUGCUCGCUGGAGUUUGCAUCUUCAAGCACAUAAUUUUCUCCAGUUUCAUCCAUGAGCUCCCCCCACCCCCUCUCUUACUGAAUCCCUACGCACCCCAAGCAAUCUCGGUCAAGUUUGUGCGGAUUUGGGGUUUAAGAUCUGUGCAUGUGCGGGGAAUUUAUUAGUAGGAGUUGGUCUGGGUUUUAUUUGUCAGAUUUACUGGAGAAUUUGGCAUUAGAUUUUGAUCUUGGGUGGGGGCGAGGGUCCUCAAAUGUCUACACUAUUGUGGUGAAAUGCUACUCCAUUUUUACUAAAAAUCAUUUAGGAUGCUGAUUUUCUUAGUUGGUCUUGAUUGCAGUUAAAUGCCAAAAAUCAGGACUCGGUAUGGUGCCAAAAUAUGUUCAUAAUUUUGUGCGCUGGGCUGGUGGGAUGCUAUGUGAAUCACUACAUUCUUACUCCUUUGGUUCGCCGGGGGUUCGGAUUGCAUUGACCACAUUCAGAUUUUUCCUAGAGAUUCGGGCUGGCAACCAAAGAUGUCCAGCCUUGAUGGCUUGUGAUAUAUUAUCAUGUUUAGGAUAGACGAAAAUGAGAUUGCAAAGGAACGAAGAGCUCAAGAUUUUGUUUUGUUCAUGAAGAUGCAUAAUCAAGAGGAACCACAAGGAUUCCUAAGAGCAGAGGUGCAGCAACAUCACUUAACCUUUUCAUGUUACUCUAGAUGAUUUAUCAUCCUUGCUUGCCCCUCCUGACAAGGAUUCAUAUCAAGAGUUCAAUACUUGUUGGGGGUUCCUCGCAAUGCACGCACAGAGAGGCAUAACUUCUUUGCUUCCCCCAUCAUCUCUGCAAUAAUAUGGCGUGCAUGUGCAAAAAGAAGGAUCUGAUGGUCUACUAAGGGCUUAUAGGAAUGAAGAGCGGCUUAUCUUCUUUACGUGUUUAUCUGGUAAAUAUUCAUCUGUCAGGCAAUACAAAUCAUAUGGUUACAAGUUCAACAACAGCAUGGGGAGCGCUGGCGUGGUAGUCCGGCGGUAGAGGGAUGGCUGGGCAGCAGCCUACCGAGGAGUUGGAGGGAGGGCUUGAUUGGACCACAUCUGUCCAUGAGGGCUCGUUGGUGGGCUAAUCAAGAAGGGGGGAGGGGCUGGGUGUAUCUGUGUUGCGCGGUUCCGGCUGGUGUGCUCCUCGGCGGCGUCCUGGACAGGUGGAUGUGUGGGCGGCUGCGUGUGUGCGUGUGCUUUGGCGGUGCGUGGUGAGGUAGUGGGGUGGCCAGCGCGGUGCCCUGGUGAGCAGGUGGUUAGAUCCGGACGGAUUUGGCCAUGGUGGCUCGACGUUGGACUUGCUGGUGCAUGUAUGGUUUAUAAUCUGUCCGGACGGAAGAUUGUAGUUUGUGUAUAGUUUAUAAUCUGAGGAAAUGUUUGCCGUCUGUGUUAACCUUCAGUCUUGUACUGCUGAAGAUUGUAGUUUGUGUUGUAUCAUAUGUGGACAUGUUCUUUACUUCAAUGGA
Triticum dicoccoides is the source of this 3212-nucleotide long non-coding RNA. RefSeq lists it as uncharacterized. Lineage: Eukaryota; Viridiplantae; Streptophyta; Magnoliopsida; Poales; Poaceae. The record is from RefSeq and is a predicted model, not a curated record. The transcript is spliced from 7 exons.